This 140-nucleotide ribosomal RNA is filed under the name Leptolejeunea radicosa. Its description in RNAcentral is "5.8S ribosomal RNA". It matches the Rfam family "5.8S ribosomal RNA". Rfam says of the family: 5.8S ribosomal RNA (5.8S rRNA) is a component of the large subunit of the eukaryotic ribosome. It is transcribed by RNA polymerase I as part of the 45S precursor that also contains 18S and 28S rRNA. Lineage: Eukaryota; Viridiplantae; Streptophyta; Jungermanniopsida; Porellales; Lejeuneaceae. The record is from RNAcentral.
AUGACUCUCAGCAACGGAUAUCUUGGCUCUUGCAACGAAUGCGAUACCUAGUGUGAAUUGCAGAAUUCCGCGAAUCAUCGAGUUUUUGAACGCAAGUUGCGCCCGAGGCUUGUUCCGAGGGCAUGCCUGCCUGAGCGUCC